This 447-nucleotide ribosomal RNA is filed under the name uncultured bacterium. RNAcentral describes it as "partial 16S ribosomal RNA". It matches the Rfam family "Bacterial small subunit ribosomal RNA", at positions 29 to 523 of the family's 1533-position model. The record is from RNAcentral.
AGCGAACGCUGGCGGCAGGCUUAACACAUGCAAGUCGAACGGUCCUUCGGGAUAGUGGCGGACGGGUGAGUAACACGUGGGAACGUACCCUUAGGUUCGGAACAACACAGGGUAACUUGUGCUAAUACCGGAUAAACCCUUCGGGGGAAAGAUUUAUCGCCUUUGGAGCGGCCCGCGUCUGAUUAGCUUGUUGGUGAGGUAAUGGCUCACCAAGGCUACGAUCAGUAGCUGGUCUGAGAGGAUGGCCAGCCACACUGGGACUGAGACACGGCCCAGACUCCUACGGGAGGCAGCAGUGGGGAAUCUUGCGCAAUGGGCGAAAGCCUGACGCAGCCAUGCCGCGUGGAUGAUGAAGGUCUUAGGAUUGUAAAAUCCUUUCACCGGGGACGAUAAUGACGGUACCCGGAGAAGAAGCCCCGGCUAACUUCGCGCCAGCCGCCGCGGUAA